GAGCGAAACCAGACGGCAUAAGCCGUUUGGUCUGCUGGACGUGGUUGUCCAGUACUGAUGAGCAGCCGAGG
RNAcentral lists this non-coding RNA (71 nucleotides) under Cognatundibacterium rivi. The record is from RNAcentral. Lineage: Bacteria; Pseudomonadati; Pseudomonadota; Betaproteobacteria; Burkholderiales; Oxalobacteraceae.